AGAGGCAGCAACCCUGACAAGAAGUAGGUAGAACUGAGGCGAUAAUCACACUGAGAGAGUAGAGCAGAAACACAAGCGCAUGUUUCCCCUCUGGAGGUGAGAAACCAGACCAACAGACAGCAGGGAGGAAAGUUUGUCUACCUGAGUAUCGACCGAUGAUCUGCUAAUAACAACUAAAGUUUGUGGUUGGUAACUUCUCCAGCUGUUCUGGCCCAGUAACAGUAAUGAAACACUUCAGCCUUCAGGCUCAAACAAGACUUACAUCUCACCUUUUCCACCAAUGACUUGUCACUUGACUUUAUCAUUUGUCUGUGAAUGACCUGAUUUCCUCCCAAACAUUAAAUGGACUGCACUUACAUAGGACCACUCAAAGCACUUUACUAUACAAGCCACAUUCACACACUGAUGGAACAGCCAUCAGAGGCAAUUUAGGGUUCAGGAUCUUGCCCAAAGACACUUCGACAUGAUAUUUGCAUACAAGAUAUCUUAUGUGAUAUCUGCUGACUGGAGGAGCUGGAUAUCGAACCACUGACCUAAUGAUUAGUGGACGACCCGCUCUACCUCCUGAGCCACAGCCACCCAGAUUUGGUCAACAGGUUAAGGUUAUAGAGUUAUUAUUCCUAGAUAACAUUAGCUCAGAGCUAGAAUUAAGCAGUUAAAUUUGCUAGCACGAUACUGAUAAACCCUCAACAUGAUCAGCAUGGUAACAGUCAAAGGAGCUGUUGGUCCUACUUCCAUGAUGACUUGUUGAAGACUCCAAACACAACGUUUAGGACUCGACUCAGAACAUAACAACUAGGACUUGAGACUUAUUUGUCACUUGCAUUCAGUAACAUCGUCCCAACUCUGAAGCGAAGUGAUAAAUGCUAGGUUUGUAUAUCUGACUGCCCAGUUUGGAAAACACGCACCCGUCUGAGGUUGAACUUAAAUUUGAAUUUAAAAGAAAAACAGUGUUUUAAUACUAAAAUCUGAUUCUGUUACAGCUACACACUGUUCGCAUCACUGAAAUCUGAAUGCGUUAUUACAGUGAGACAACAUGGGAAAAAGAGCCAGUGCUGUGCUGGGAAGUAAUAGUGUGGGAAAAGUGCGCCUUGUGUUUUUACUGCCUUCGGUCUCUUGUCGCCUCAGUUUGCCUGGCAGGCAGCACAUCUGGGCAAAAAACAUAAAAUACAUCAACACAAUCUGUAUCAUUGAAAAAGUGUAAAAUUAAUUUAAUAUCAAUUACUGGCAAAAAAUAAUGAAUCAGUCAAAGACGUUCUGAUAACAGCAUGUGGCCACUCCUACAGUGAAUCUGACACGCACUAGUGUGGAGUUUGAUUUGAUUAGUGUCAGAUUUGACAGGAGAGGAAAUAAUCUCAUGUUGCUGAGUUAAAAUCAUAAGAUGAACAGACAAACAAAACAUAAAUAUCAAACCAGUGCUAUUUGAAAUGUUUAAAUCCUCUAACUGCAGACAUGGAGGUUACUCUCCCGUCUGCAGCUGUGAUUUUUGCCCAGAUCUUACAGCAGUGAAGGUUGUAGAGAUCCCUCCGCCCUGCAGUUCUCUGACAGCAGCACUGCAGGAUUCAGCAGCAAUGCAGCGAGAACAUGAAGUGAAUGUCGGAGAGUGAAAGGUGAGGAGGGAUGUCUCUGAUCUCUGCCUGCCCUGCUGCCCAGCAGCAUGUUAGGGUCGCUGUCUCUCACGGGAGAAGAUUUUCUUUUGUCCUUUCAACUUUUUGUUAACUUUUAUUGAGUUGUUCAUUCACUGAGGAAACAGGUGAACAAUGCAGUGUUGUUUCUGAGAGAUGAUGAUGAGGAGGAAGAGGAGGAGGAGGAGGAGGAGGAGGAGGAGGCCCAGGAGAGUUGAAAGCAGGAGCACAGAGGAACGAACGAGGCUGUGUUGAAUCGGUUUGACUGCAGAGACAAGACAAGUCGGUUUCCAGCAACUCUCUGUCGUCCUGCCGACCCAGCCGUUGCUUAGUAACUGGUCCUUUCAGCACCAGCUGAUGUCUGAAAUGCCAGGCGUCUUACCACGCAGCCGAUCAGCACUCAGCUCUGUCGCAGCUCUGAGGGAAAAGAGGAGAGAAUCAUCUCUCAAAAAAAAACUAAAACCAGAGCUGGAUGGUCAAACCUGCCAGAUCCACAGCAGCAGCAGCAGCAGAGCUCCUCAGGCGACCUGCAGAAACUCUGCUGUAAUGGGCUUCCUCAUGGUUGGAGGUCUCCUGUCAACCUUCCUCACAGGAAUCUGAACCGUCGAGCUGAAAACCCCCCCCAAGCAGAGAGAUGGUUUGAAAUGAAAUCUCUUUUUCCUCUGGGCUUUCUGCUGCAGGCAGGUUUGACUGCUAAAACAGAAAGGGGGGCGGGGGCGGGGGGGGGCUGUUAAACCAAAUGAUAAGUCAUAUUCUCCUAUGCUCCUCACGUUAGUGUGAAGCCCACCGUCAAGCCCCUCUCCCUGCAGAGAGGCAGAACACCCCCCACCCACCCCCACUCCUCCUCCCUCCUCUGAAUCUUCUGCUCAGUGAAUCUAAAAGUUUUCCAGGCUCUCCGGAGGGGUCCUCUCUGCAGGGAGGGUGACCGAACCUCUGCCUGAAGGAAAAAACAUCAACAGAAACAAAAGAAAGAUGAUUUUUUUUUUCUUCCUGAAGUAGGGCCCCCCCCCCCCAAGUGAAGCCUCUGCUGAUGGAGCGCAGCAGCAUCAACUGGGAGGUGGAUCUGGAAUCUCAUGAAUGCAACUUUAUAUGGAUUUUUUUUUUCUUUGUUAAAGUUUUUUUGGGAACUUAUAAAAGAUGUGGGGCUCCCUCCGGGCUCGGGCGGGGACCUCCCAGACAUCACAGUGAAAAUGAAAAGCAGUUUUGGUUUUUAGCCCAGGAGGACUCAUUCAGCACACGAGUGAGGAUCACUGAAGAGCUUAAUUUCCAUAAUGAGACAUCCAGCCUGUCUGCGUUCUCUCCAGUUCUGGGUCUCUAAUUACAGUUAUUGAGGGUUUUUUUAUAGUUUUUUUGUCGUUUCUUAAUAGAGUUUUUGUCAGUGUUGAGUCACCUGCUGGGAUUCAGGAAGUGUCAUGAUUUCUGUGAACGCUGGGAUAUUCCCUCAUUUAAACGUUCACAUUGAAUAUGAGUUUCCGUGGACAGAUCUUUUAUCCUCCACAUGAUUCAGAUGUUUUAUCAGUCUGAACAGUGGAGAUCUAAUGGAGUCACGGUUUUGUUUUUAUAAAAACAAAAAGGAGUUUGGUUUAACAUCCACUGACAUCCAGAGAGCCUGGGUAGAGCCUCUUUUCAAAUUAAAACACAAACUCAACUUUAUGUACAAACUUUAGAUAAAAGGAAAAAAAAAAUCUAAAAUUUCUGCCCCUUUUUUCAAACUUUUUACUAAACAUUGGCCCCAAGAAGCAGCUGCUUCCUGGUCCUGAGCUCCACUAACACCCUUUUGUCUAAAGUUGAAUUAAAAAAUUUAAUAAUUUAAAAAAACUGUCCUGAAAAGCUUUGAUUUAAAAAAAACAAAAUACCUUCAAGUUGCGUCCAUAUUUUGGUAAAAAAAAAAAAUUGAUUUAGAGUUUUAAAAAAUCCUGAUCCUCAAACUGAUUUUCAAAUAAAGCAGUUGUUUACUCCACAUCUGGACAAAAGUUAUCUCUUAUGUUAAAUCUGGAUUUUAACAACCACGCAAAAAAUUUGCCCCAAAACUAUUUUCCCACUGAGACUAUAUUCAAAGUGAUAUGCAUUUUUACAUAUAUGUACACAUUUUUCUUACAGUUGAUGAAUUAUAGUCAAAUUCUGUCUCUCCUUUGUUUAAUCUGGAAAUCUAAAUUGCCAAAAAUAAAAGCAGCUUUUUACUGCUCCACUUCAGCUCCACUGAGGCGCUGCCACUUUUGUGUAAAUGUGGAUGAAAUGGAUGGAGCUGAAAAUGGCCUGGCAGGCAGCAGCCUGUGUGUGACGGGCUGAGACACCCGGCGUGUGUCAGUGGGUUCAGGUUUUCCUGCUCUUCAGUCGUCCUCACUGAUCAGUGUGAAGUGAAGCGUCUGAUAGAAAGAUCCUCUGAUCGUAUACUGAGAAUGUAAAGUCUACUCUGACACACACUCACACACACACACACACACACACACACACACACGUAUGUAAUUCUGUACUUGUGAGGUUCAUAAUCCAUUUCCUAAUAUUAACCCCUAAACAGCUGUUAUGAGCUGGCUCUUGUGGCCACACCCAUGGCUUGGGUUAAUAAAGAAUAUUUUUAUUUAACCACAUUAAGAUAUCAAAUUAAAUCCUCCGAGUAUGCGGUGUAGAAAUCAGAAACAUCACCAGUGUGUGGUGGGCAUGAGUGAGGUAGGUGAGUGAGGAUUAAACUAAGACACUAUAACCAAACCAAAAUGUGGUGUACCUGCAGAGAGGUUAUUUAGCAGGACUUAAAUACCUUAUAUACCUUGUAUACCAUACCAGAUAUACCAGUCACCUACCUGCAGACAAAGAGACACCGAUUAGUAAAAGGAUCCCAAACCCCAGGGGUCAUCACAAACACAUUAAGGAAAUAAAAAUGUUGUUUUUUGACCUUUUAACCUUCAAAAAAUCCUCAAAAAUGUCCUUAGUUUCCGGACAUGUCAUUUUCCAAAUCAUUCACUUAGAAAAAUGUCCUCUCUUUACAGAAAGUCCUCAAUUCACCAAAAAUUUUUCAAAUUUCUUCCUUUUUCCAAAACUUUCAAAAAUGUCAUUGUCAAGUCAAGUGACAGCUUUAUUUGUGAAAAAUGUCCUCACCUUCUGACAAGUCUUCACUUGUUGUUCUCCUCACUUUCUAAAAAUGUCCUUGUUUUCCACAUGUUCUGUUUUUUCACAUUACCUGUUUGGAGCUGGUGGGGACUCACCUCCCGUCUGCGACAAAUCAGACAGAUGAAGGUUUUUCUUUGAAAUUAGGGUGUAAGUUUUAUCUGCUCUCAGUGUAAAACUCUUCAUCCUCACAAUGACAGAAGUACAAACAUUCCUGUUUAUUCUCGACCUCAGCGAGGACACACACACACACACACACGGUAAUAUACAGUAUAACAGUGUAACCACAUCUACUGCCUUUGUAUUCAUAUGCACGUCUUGUAAGCGCACACACACACACUGCUUGGUGAAAAUGACACAUAGCGAUGCGGUGGAUACACUCCCUGUAUGUCUGCACACACACUGCUGUCGAACACUCCCAGCAGCUCACUGCCUAACUACACCCUACACCCGACUCCAUCCCAUCCUCCUGUCCUCCCCCAGUCCACCUCUCCCUCGAUGUCUCCCCCUCCCCCAUUUGGCUUUCAUACUCAUUUUAUCUCUCAGACUUCCCUCUCCACCAUCUCUAUGCUUUUUAAAUUUAAUUUAGCUCCACAGGCUUGGCAGGUGAAAUACAUUUGUUUUUACACGAAGAAGGAAAAUAGUAGAUAAAUGUGGAGGGAACAAUAAAGAGGAGCUCUCUGAGAGUAAGUCGUCACACUCUGUGUUAUCUCUUCAGUUCUUCUCUUGCUCGUCUCUCCCUGCAAGAGCUAAAACUCUCAUUACUCUGCUGUCAGCUGCUGCAGGAGGCAGAAGAAAUCUGUGUGGAGGCUGUUAUUUAAGGUGCAGCUUGUGCUUCAAGGCUGUGGACAGGUGUGUAUAUUUAGUGUUAAACUGCGGGGACACACAGAAGUUUAUACACCUACAUUGUGGGGACAUACCAAGUGAGGCAGUUUAAGAUUUUCUUGAGCCUUCCAGUAGCAAGUGGAGUGGCACCAGAGAAAAGCUCAUGCAGUGAGUAAAAUCUCCCUGUUUUAAAUCUGCAGUGGCGUGACAUUGUGGGGACACAGCUCAUGCACCUACAUCGUGGGGACCUGUUUCUGCACCGUGUUGUGGGGACUCACCUCCCAGUUGGGACAGAUAAUGCAGUUUAAGCUUUUUCUUUAAAUUUAAAAUUCACUUUUAUCUGUUCUUAGAGCCUUUACCAGUAGUGAGCACUAGGUGGUGCUAGAGAGAAGUUCAUGUGGGUAAUAAAAUGUAGAGGAUGCAUGAAGGUGCUCAGUUAAUUUCAUGGCACUCCGCUAAGUAGAUUUAGACAUGUCUUAAGUAAAGUAAAAAUGUUCACGCUAAUGUUGACACUGUAGAGACGAUUUAUUUUGCAACAUGUUUUCAGUGGAUGAUUCAGAGUAACAAAUCCUCAUCUUAUUUUUCACUGCACUGAUUUCAACUUUUUGUCAUUAGCAUUUCGACCUGGUGUUUACUGAUUGGGUUGUUUGUCUCUACUUUCCUCCUCUUGAAAGAACAGAGUUUCCCUCUCUUACCAGUAUUGUGAAGUCCCAACUGUCUGAUUAAUUACUGUGAAGUGCACAGACUCUGUGAUCAAUUAAUCAAUCAAGUGCUGCACAGACCUUGAUGCAUCUUGUCUCACUAUGAAGGCAGUCCCUGUAUAUAACAAUCGCCUGCCAUGUAAUACUUGGUCCUAAUGCAUAAUAUCACAUACCACCUACACUAUAAAGCACUUUUGUUUUGCUCUAUUUGUGGGUGAGUUUUAUUCGCCCAAGUGUCAAGUCAAGUAAUUGGAGAGCAGAUGAAAAUAUAACAAAAUAAGUGUUUUUUGUGCGAACUUAAAAAUUCAAUUCAGUUGAGUUGUAUUUAUAUAGCUAGCACAAAACCACAACAUACAUUGUUUCAAGGAUCUCUACUCAGUAAGGUCAAAGCUCUACAAUAGAGAGAAACCCUGCAGUUUGAAUAGUGAACAGGUCGACAUGAAUAACAAUAAUAAUAAUAAUAAUAAACUUUAUUUAUUUUGAACUUUUCUUAACAAACUGACAAAGUGCUUUACAGAAAGAAAAAGGGGAAUUUAAAACAGCGAUUACAACCAUGAGAAAAACAAACAUGAUAGAUAUAGAUGUCUGUAUCAUGGAAAAAUAAAACGCAACUAAAUAAAACACAACAACAUAUCAAACAUUCAUAAAAGCUUUCUGAUAAAAGAAUGUUUUUAGAAUAGUUUUAAAAGACACUAAAGACGUAGCCAGUCUGAUCUCAGUGGGUAGACUGUUCCACAGUUUGGGGGCUCUGACAGCAAAGGUCACCUUUAGUCAGCAGCCGAGACCCUGGAAUAACCAGCAGAGCUCCCUCCGAUCCAAGUAGACGCCUAGGCACAUAUUGGUUUAAUAAUGAUAAAAUUUGGAGUGAGGCCAUUUAAUGCUUUGAAGGUGAUGAGUAGAAUGUAAUGUAUGUAACAGGCAGCCAGUGUAAAUUUGUAAGUAUUGGAGUAAUAUGUUCAUAUCACUUGAAGUUGAUGAAGUUGAUGUUUUACUGAAGCAAAGUGGUUUUCAUCUGUUUUGAGAAAGGCAGACAUUUUGUACAUGACUUGUUCUGCCUGAACGUCUAAUGAAUUAAGUUUGUGUUGUGAUCAAGACAUAACUGAAGCUGUUUUAAAUCACUCAUUUGUGCACCGAAGAACAAAUGUGUUCGAAUUAGUGAUUCCUGUGGGAACCUCAGUGUUUCUGGUAAGACGUGUUUAAAAUUUAAUAUGCCGCUUCUUUAAAACUAAAUUCCAUUCAUCCCCCUACAUUAGAGUAGAGGCAGAUAUUUUAAAGCCUGGACAAAUAAAACCACUAUCUGCAUGGAUAGACAUGACUACAGCUAACACAUCAGUGAGGCAUUUAAAUUUAGGCAUCUUAGCUAUAAAUAUUAGAGGGCUUAGCCAGUACAAAUUGCUCUUCAUCAACAGGUGGAGAUCAUUUAGUCUGAGCUUUAACAGCUCCAUUAGAGACACAUCUAAAUGACUCUGCUGUUUGUUAAUGGAGCCUGUUUCCCCAGGACGACAGUGAUGACUUUAAUUAUCAACUGUUUUAAGAGUGCACAGGGACAGAUGGAAACAAGAUGGAGAGAGACGAGCACCGUUCACUCACCAGAAAGUGAAGGGAAAAAAAAUGUCGGCUAAGUCUCCCUCUUCUCCUCCUUUCUGUCUCUUUUUCUUUUUAAAUCAUUGAGAGACAGAAUCAAGAAAAUUCAGCUAAAUCCAUCAAGAUAAACAUGAGACCAGCAAGAGGCAAAAAGAAAAGAGAAAGCAAGACAUCAAUUAAGCCUCUGUGGUUAAACACAGAAGGCCGAGCCACAUCCAGCAGAAACAUCUAAAGAGGAAAGAAGCUUCAUUUAUCCAGCCAAACUCAAGAGGAAAAAAACACAGCUGUGCCUGAGUAAUCAUGAGCACACAUGGGAGGAGAGUGAGACAAAUCUGACCACACACCCAACGACCAGAGAAGAAGAAACAUGAGGCUAGAUCAGAGCCGCGUUAUGUGAUGGAGGCUUCUAUUUUGUAAGAAUCACACAAAGAAAACAAAGAGAUGUUAGAACAGGUGGAGCAUUGAUCCAGCUCAGCAGUUUGUUAGUCUUAGUCCAAUGAUUACAAGAAGUGUAUUAUGUUUAUCAGAUUUCCAUCCUUUUCCAAAGUCUCAUCAUUUUAUUGAACCACAUUAAGAUAUCAAAUUAAAUCCUCCGAGUAUGCGGUGUAGAAAUCAGAAACAUUACCAGUGUGUGGUGGGCAUGAGUGAGGAUUAAACUAAGGCACUAUAACCAAACCAAAAUGUGGUGUACCUGCAGAGAGGUUAUUUAGCAGGGAGGACUUAAAUACCCUAGAACACUUCUCAUUUUUGGACGAAAAUGAAUCUAAAAAAAAAAUACACACUGGGUGUUCCAGGGUAUUUUUUUUUUUAGAUUCAUUUUCGUCCAAAAAUAAAUAGUUUGUUAAUUAGUCCAAUUACAUGUUAAGAAAUGAAUUAUAAUAUUAAAAACUGACAUCUAGAAUAGGUUUAAAAAACACCUGAUGUUGAUGAUGUUUUAUCAUGAUAAAUUAAAAAUGUAGCCUAUACAUUCUAAAAAAUUCUAGAUUUUUUCUUAUGAUCAUUUAUUUCAAGAUCUAGGAAUAAGUUUUAAGUAAAUUGCAAUGACAAGUCUUCAUUCACGCAUUUUAAUGUUAAGAAUACAAUUAUUGAUAUAACUGACUGAAUUAAGGGUGUGUGUUUGAUAUUAAAUAAAGUGUGAAAAACAAAAAUGUAAUUGUUAAAAUAUCACAAAUUCAAUUAUUGAUAUUUGGGAGAACUGAGGAACAUUUUAAACUACUUUUUGAAAUAUUUAUCCCAGAAAGAAAGAUUUUUCUUACAAACUUUUCUCAUUUUUAUUAAAUAUGUUUUGUGAUGUCAAUAACAAUUCUUAUUUUAACAUUGUAAAACAGGUUUCUUGUUGCUCAGAAGAAAGAAAAUUGAAGAAUAUCAUGUUCUUUGUGACCCUCUGUACUUUUUUUGAUCACAGCCUUUUUAAUGCAGAGACAUUACAUUUGCAGUUUAUUAUGUUUAAGAAAACAAACUGACGGACUCACAGUCGACAGCUGGUUUAAAGACAUUGGUAAAGAUGGAGCAGCUUGUUGUUGAGCGAGGCGUUCACUGUCGGCUGCUUUCUGAGUCAAGUGUUCAGGAGAAGUUUGUGUCUGAGCCUGAUCCCUUUAAUUCUGCUGUCUGCCUUUCAGCCAUCUGCAUCUUGCUCUUCCUCCUCCUCCUCCUCGCCUGUCCGCCGCCCACCGCUUACUCAUCCUCUUCAUCAUCCUGUCUUCCUCCCACACCGUCAUCCCUCCUAGUCUGUCUCGUCUUAAAGUUCACUUGAGCCUCUGUCUCUAACUCCUUCCUCCUCCUCCUCUUCCUCCUUGCCUUACACUAAGCCUGUUUACAUAGGAUUAGAAUCUCCAGCAGCUGCAUCGCUGCUGUUUUUUACCCUUUAAGGGAGUCGGGACUGGUUUUCUUCUUUCUGUGAGUGUUUCUCUGUGUUUGUUCUUGUUAAAUUUCGGGGGCUGCCGCUGCUUCUGAGCUGAACUUUGCCCUCGAACUGCUGGUUUACCCAAACUGUUUGUUUUUCCUCCCUCGCUGUACUUGAAGGGAAAAUCCACCUGAGUCAUGGAUCAAUGACCAGGAGCCCAAAGGGUCAGAUGACCCCUGGUCCAGAUUUGCUGUUUGAAGUGACUGUUAAUGUUUUGUGCUGGAAUGUCAAGCAAACGACUGCAAAGACACAAAAAAUAACUAUAAAGUGAUGUAGAAGAACAACAAAGAGGUGAAAAAUGACUAGAGACAUAUAAUGACCUGAAAAGAUUCUAAAGAGACAGAAAGCAACUACAAGGAGACACAAAACAUCUCCAAAGUGUUGUAAAAUGAUCACAGAAACCAAAUACGACCAUUUAGUGUUAGACACAAUUACAACCAUUAAGUGUUGUAAAACAGUGACAGAAUGAGGAAGAAGAACAACAGAUGGACAAAAAAUCAACAAAAUGACCAGAGAGACAAAAAAAAAGACUAGAGACAUAAACUGACCUCAAAGAGACGCUUAGGAAACACAACACAACUACAAAGUGAAGUAAAAUGACCACAAAGAGUCAAAGGAACGGCAACAAAGAGACAAUAAAGAAUAAAGAAGCUUUUGUCAUUCCAUAACUAGAGAGUUAUGUAACUAAGAGUUCUAACUGCAUCAUAUGUGGAAGGAUUUUUGGGUGGACUUUCCCUUUAAGUGCUUGCUGUUGGAUGUGCGUCUCUCCUGAAACUGUGAAGUCUCUCGUUUUAAAUUGAUUUUUUUAACAAAUAAAUGACAAACUGUUUUGGUCUUUUCAGUGUUGUGGCUUUGAAAAAGUUGUGUCACAGAAACAAACGAUCACUCCUGUAAAUUUCAGUGCAGCGUUUUCAGGGUUUCGUACGAAUCACGUGUCCUUCUCUCUGCAGUGUUUCAUUAUCUGGUGACGACAGGAAAACAGAAUCUGUGAUGUUUUCUAAGUCAUGACACUGUAUUAUACCUUUAACGUUGUAUUUUAUCAAUGCAAAGUUUUUAGUUUUGAUAAAGAAUUUAAGUACGCGCUUCAUGGACACGUGAGCUUUUUUUCUUUCUUUGAUUUUAUUUUUCGGCUCUGCUCUGCACUCAAAAACAAACGAAACAGGAAAACAACUGGUCGUAUGAAACAGCAAAUCAAAGUCAAAUUUAACCACUGAAAUCAUAAAACUGAAAUCUUUUAAUUUGAAAAUCAUGUUGAAUUUCUCUCUGCAUUUUUAGAUUCUUUUAACUUUUGAACUUGAAGUCACAAAAAUGUAUUAAAAAUAUUAUGUAUUAUUAAUUUUGAAAAUGAACAUUAAAAUAAAAAUCAGAUUUCAAACUUACACUUUAUUGUCAAUGAGAAUCAGGAAAGAAAUGGUCAGGUCCAGCUUAGUUUUUCUGUUUUAUUAAUAAAAUAGUGUGUAACUUUGUCCCUCUCUUUUUUUUUCUUUUUUUUUUUGAAUAGCAAUUUUUUUUUUUAUUGCAAAAGGUCACCUUUAAAACAAGCAGAAAUCUAUAAAGUUUGAUUAUUUGCAUUGGUGAUUUUAGUGUAGGCUACAUGAUUUUCAAAGUAAAAUAUUUAAUUGUUGAAUCUAAGUAUUUAGAAAUCCAAAACAUGGAAAUUGAAGUUUGAAAUCACAUGUCAUUAAUUCAGUGGUUUAUAUCGUCCACUCACUGGCUUUACAAAAUUGCUGGCUUGUUUCAAACAACACAACCAGCUGUUUUUCUUGCUCUUUUUUUUUUUUUACAGUGUAGGUGACGUGCAGAUUUUCUGGUUCUCUGUUUUUCUUUUUUACAGUAUAAAUGACGUGCAGAUUGUAUGUAUCAGUGUGUGAACAGAGCUCCUCUAUAUUUUCUAAGUGGUUGAAAGUUGUCAUGUAGAUUUAUCUUCCUGCCUUCUGUUGAGCUCCUUUAUGAGUCCACGCUCUUGUUUUGUAAAGAAAUAAAACUUCCUGUUGGACCAAAACUGAA
Long non-coding RNA from Seriola aureovittata, 11747 nucleotides. RefSeq lists it as uncharacterized. The record is from RefSeq and is a predicted model, not a curated record. The transcript is spliced from 2 exons. NCBI's taxonomy places the organism in Eukaryota, Metazoa, Chordata, Actinopteri, Carangiformes, Carangidae.